AAGUCGUAACAAGGUUUCCGUAGGUGAACCUGCGGAAGGAUCAUUAACGAAUUAUGGAAAGUUGAUGCUGGCAUUCACUUGCAUGUGCUCACUCUCUUAAUCCAUUUCACACCUGUGCAUCUUAAUUUCGAAGUAAGGAGGCUCUCUGAGCCUCCAAGCUUUGGAAGCUUAUCACACUCUUAAUUGUCUUAAUGAAUGUUUAUCUGCCGCAAGGCAAAAUCUAUACAA
RNAcentral lists this unclassified non-coding RNA (228 nucleotides) under plant metagenome. RNAcentral's name for it is "partial contains small subunit ribosomal RNA and internal transcribed spacer 1". The stretch from base 1 to 46 matches the Rfam family "Eukaryotic small subunit ribosomal RNA", at positions 1786 to 1831 of the family's 1831-position model. The record is from RNAcentral.